Molecule: ribosomal RNA, 465 nt
Filed under: uncultured bacterium
Lineage: Bacteria
Description: bacterial SSU rRNA
Rfam family: Bacterial small subunit ribosomal RNA
Source: RNAcentral
CCUACGGGGGGCAGCAGUGGGGAAUUUUGGACAAUGGGCGCAAGCCUGAUCCAGCAAUGCCGCGUGCAGGAUGAAGGCCUUCGGGUUGUAAACUGCUUUUGUACGGAACGAAACGGUGAGCUCUAAUAAAGCUUGCUAAUGACGGUACCGUAAGAAUAAGCACCGGCUAACUACGUGCCAGCAGCCGCGGUAAUACGUAGGGUGCGAGCGUUAAUCGGAAUUACUGGGCGUAAAGCGUGCGCAGGCGGUUAUAUAAGACAGAUGUGAAAUCCCCGGGCUCAACCUGGGACCUGCAUUUGUGACUGUAUAGCUAGAGUACGGUAGAGGGGGAUGGAAUUCCGCGUGUAGCAGUGAAAUGCGUAGAUAUGCGGAGGAACACCGAUGGCGAAGGCAAUCCCCUGGACCUGUACUGACGCUCAUGCACGAAAGCGUGGGGAGCAAACAGGAUUAGAUACCCUUGUAGUC